This 250-nucleotide ribosomal RNA is filed under the name uncultured bacterium. RNAcentral describes it as "partial 16S ribosomal RNA". It matches the Rfam family "Bacterial small subunit ribosomal RNA", at positions 779 to 1028 of the family's 1533-position model. The record is from RNAcentral.
UAGAUACCCUGGUAGUCCACGCCCUAAACGAUGUCGACUAGGUGUUGGGGAAGCGAUUCCUUGGUACCGUAGCUAACGCGUGAAGUCGACCGCCUGGGGAGUACGGCCGCAAGGUUAAAACUCAAAGGAAUUGACGGGGACCCGCACAAGCGGUGGAUGAUGUGGAUUAAUUCGAUGCAACGCGAACAACCUUACCUACCUUGACAUGUCUGGAAGGCCGCUGAGAGGUGGUUGUGCCCGAAAGGGAACC